CGGGAUAUAAUUCAUUAGUGAAUAUCAUUAUUUACAUUAAUGAUUUAAUUGUGCAAUUCAAUUUAUCUUGU
RNAcentral lists this transfer RNA (71 nucleotides) under Nerthra indica. Its description in RNAcentral is "tRNA-Val". Lineage: Eukaryota; Metazoa; Arthropoda; Insecta; Hemiptera; Gelastocoridae. The record is from RNAcentral.